Molecule: ribosomal RNA, 143 nt
Filed under: Tricholoma sulphureum
Lineage: Eukaryota; Fungi; Basidiomycota; Agaricomycetes; Agaricales; Tricholomataceae
Description: 5.8S ribosomal RNA
Rfam family: 5.8S ribosomal RNA
About the family: 5.8S ribosomal RNA (5.8S rRNA) is a component of the large subunit of the eukaryotic ribosome. It is transcribed by RNA polymerase I as part of the 45S precursor that also contains 18S and 28S rRNA. Functionally, it is thought that 5.8S rRNA may be involved in ribosome translocation.
Source: RNAcentral
CGGAUCUCUUGGCUCUCGCAUCGAUGAAGAACGCAGCGAAAUGCGAUAAGUAAUGUGAAUUGCAGAAUUCAGUGAAUCAUCGAAUCUUUGAACGCACCUUGCGCUCCUUGGUAUUCCGAGGAGCAUGCCUGUUUGAGUGUCAU